RNAcentral lists this ribosomal RNA (497 nucleotides) under uncultured bacterium. RNAcentral describes it as "partial 16S ribosomal RNA". It matches the Rfam family "Bacterial small subunit ribosomal RNA", at positions 28 to 507 of the family's 1533-position model. The record is from RNAcentral.
GAUGAACGCUGGCGGCGUGCCUAAUACAUGCAAGUCGAGCGAACAGAUAAGGAGCUUGCUCCUUUGGCGUUAGCGGCGGACGGGUGAGUAACACGUGGGUAACCUACCUAUAAGACUGGGAUAACUUCGGGAAACCGGAGCUAAUACCGGAUAAUAUUUCGAACCGCAUGGUUCGAUAGUGAAAGAUGGUUUUGCUAUCACUUAUAGAUGGACCCGCGCCGUAUUAGCUAGUUGGUAAGGUAACGGCUUACCAAGGCGACGAUACGUAGCCGACCUGAGAGGGUGAUCGGCCACACUGGAACUGAGACACGGUCCAGACUCCUACGGGAGGCAGCAGUAGGGAAUCUUCCGCAAAGGGCGAAAGCCUGACGGAGCAACGCCGCGUGAGUGAUGAAGGUCUUCGGAUCGUAAAACUCUGUUAUUAGGGAAGAACAUACGUGUAAGUAACUGUGCACGUCUUGACGGUACCUAAUCAGAAAGCCACGGCUAACUACGUG